CCUACGGGACGCAGCAGUGGGGGAUAUUGCACAAUGGGGGGAACCCUGAUGCAGCGACGCCGCGUGGGUGAAGGAGCGUUUCGGCGCGUAAAGCCCUAUCGGCAGGGAAGAAGGAGGACGGUACCUGACUAAGAAGCCCCGGCUAACUACGUGCCAGCAGCCGCGGUAAUACGUAGGGGGCAAGCGUUAUCCGGAUUUACUGGGUGUAAAGGGGGCGCAGACGGCAGCGCAAGCCAGGAGUGAAAGCCCGGGGCCCAACCCUGGGACUGCUCUGAAACUGGAAAACCUGGGGGCGGGGGGGGGGG
RNAcentral lists this ribosomal RNA (305 nucleotides) under uncultured bacterium. RNAcentral's name for it is "partial 16S ribosomal RNA". It matches the Rfam family "Bacterial small subunit ribosomal RNA", at positions 338 to 660 of the family's 1533-position model. The record is from RNAcentral.